RNAcentral lists this long non-coding RNA (1218 nucleotides) under Homo sapiens (human). RNAcentral's name for it is "non-protein coding lnc-TRIB1-3:1". Lineage: Eukaryota; Metazoa; Chordata; Mammalia; Primates; Hominidae. The record is from RNAcentral.
GCUCGAUAGCAUAAACAUAAGUGAGUUACACAGCAAUGCAAGGAAAAAUCUAAAAAAAAUACUAAGGAUAGAAAAAUGAAAGAAUAAUGACAAUAGCAGCAAUUAAUGAAUUAGAAAAGCAGAAAAACAAUAAAAUGAUCAAUCUAAGAGCUGGAUUACUGAAAAUUGAAACAAAAUUAAGAUCAAAAGAAAAUAUGAAGGCCAGCUCUGUGGCUCACGCAUGUAAUCCCAGCACUUUGGGAGGCCCAGGCAGUGGAUCACCAGAGGUCAGGAAUCAGCCUGGCCAACAUGGUGAAACCUCGUCUCUACUAAAAAUACAACAACUAACUAGGUGUGGUGAGGCACCUGUAAUCCCAGCCUCCUGAGUAGCUGGGAUUACAGGCAUGCGUCACCAUGCCCGACUAAUUUUUGUAUUUUUAGUAGAGACAGGGUUUCACCAUGUUGGUCCAGCUGCUCUCGAUCUCCUGACCUUGUGAUCCACCCGCCUCCUCCUCCCAAAGUGCUAGGAUUACAGGUGUGAGCCACCAUGCCUGGCCCCAAAAAUGUUUCUUAAAUGACCAAAAUGAGCUUCAAAUGGCUAACAACUAUAAAUGACAUUGACAAAAACAGAAUUUAAAGAAAGACUCCUCCCUCCCCCAAAAUGCAAAUUCCAGACAUAUUUAUCACUCAAUACUGUCAAACUUUGAAGGAACACAAAUGUCCUAUGUUAUCUAAUCUAUUUCAAAGCAUGGAAAUGUCUUGUGAAACUUUGCAUUUUAUUUUAUGAAGCUAGGGUAUCUAUGACCAAAUUAUUUUUUUCCUCAUCUUUAUUGAGGUAUGAUUGAAAAAUAAAAACAUUAUGUACAAGUCUACAACUUGAUGUUUCGAUAUAGAUAUAAAUUAUGAAAUAGUCACCACAAUCAAGGUAAUUAACAUAUCUGACACCGCAUAAUUACCAUUUUCUUUUUUUUCUUUUUCUCUUGUGUGGUUAAAAUACUUAAGAUCAGCAUUCUUAAGUAUUUCAAACCAAUCUCCAGUAUACUAUAUAAUAUUGUUAACUAUAGUCACGUUGCUUUACUAUGAUUAAAUUCUGUAUUUUUUUUUUUCUUAAAAUAUUAAGAGGCCUGGCAUGGUGACUCACACCUCUAAUUCUAGCACUUUGGGAGGCUGAGUGGGGCAGGAUUGCUUGAGCCCAGGAGUUAGAGACCAGCCUGGGCAACAUGGUGAAACCCUGUCUCC